GGGAUCCCGGGGGUUCGCCUCCGGGUGAGAGUGGCGAACGGGUGAGUAAUGCGUGACCGACCUGCCCCAUACACCGGAAUAGCUCCUGGAAACGGGUGGUAAUGCCGGAUGCUCCGGUUGGAUGCAUGUCCUUCCGGGAAAGAUUCCAUCGGUAUGGGAUGGGGUCGCGUCCUAUCAGCUUGAUGGCGGGGUAACGGCCCACCAUGGCUUCGACGGGUAGCCGGCCUGAGAGGGCGACCGGCCACAUUGGGACUGAGAUACGGCCCAGACUCCUACGGGAGGCAGCAGUGGGGAAUAUUGCACAAUGGGCGCAAGCCUGAUGCAGCGACGCCGCGUGCGGGAUGAAGGCCUUCGGGUUGUAAACCGCUUUUGAUCGGGAGCAAGCCCUUCGGGGUGAGUGUACCCUUCGAAUAAGCACCGGCUAACUACGUGCCAGCAGCCGCGGUAAUACGUAGGGUGCAAGCGUUAUCCGGAAUUAUUGGGCGUAAAGGGCUCGUAGGCGGUUCGUCGCGUCCGGUGUGAAAGCCCAUCGCUUAACGGUGGGUCUGCGCCGGGUACGGGCGGGCUGGAGUGCGGUAGGGGAGACUGGAAUUCCCGGUGUAACGGUGGAAUGUGUAGAUAUCGGGAAGAACACCAAUGGCGAAGGCAGGUCUCUGGGCCGUCACUGACGCUGAGGAGCGAAAGCGUGGGGAGCGAACAGGAUUAGAUACCCUGGUAGUCCACGCCGUAAACGGUGGAUGCUGGAUGUGGGGCCCGUUCCACGGGUUCCGUGUCGGAGCUAACGCGUUAAGCAUCCCGCCUGGGGAGUACGGCCGCAAGGCUAAAACUCAAAGAAAUUGACGGGGGCCCGCACAAGCGGCGGAGCAUGCGGAUUAAUUCGAUGCAACGCGAAGAACCUUACCUGGGCUUGACAUGUUCCCGACGGCCGUAGAGAUGCGGCCUCCCUUCGGGGCGGGUUCACAGGUGGUGCAUGGUCGUCGUCAGCUCGUGUCGUGAGAUGUUGGGUUAAGUCCCGCAACGAGCGCAACCCUCGCCCUGUGUUGCCAGCACGUCAUGGUGGGAACUCACGGGGGACCGCCGGGGUCAACUCGGAGGAAGGUGGGGAUGACGUCAGAUCAUCAUGCCCCUUACGUUCAGGGCUUCACGCAUGCUACAAUGG
RNAcentral lists this ribosomal RNA (1159 nucleotides) under bacterium IARFR2055. RNAcentral describes it as "bacterial SSU rRNA". It matches the Rfam family "Bacterial small subunit ribosomal RNA", at positions 68 to 1233 of the family's 1533-position model. The record is from RNAcentral.